RNAcentral lists this ribosomal RNA (399 nucleotides) under uncultured bacterium. Its description in RNAcentral is "bacterial SSU rRNA". It matches the Rfam family "Bacterial small subunit ribosomal RNA", at positions 358 to 773 of the family's 1533-position model. The record is from RNAcentral.
GGAAUAUUGCGCAAUGGGGGAAACCCUGACGCAGCAACGCCGCGUGAAGGAAGAAGGCCUUCGGGUUGUAAACUUUUGUCUUUUGGGAAGAAGAAUGACGGUACCAAAGGAGGAAGCCACGGCUAACUACGUGCCAGCAGCCGCGGUAAUACGUAGGUGGCGAGCGUUGUCCGGAAUUACUGGGUGUAAAGGGCGUGUAGGCGGGUAGAUAAGUCAGAUGUGAAAUACCGGGGCUCAACCCCGGGGCUGCAUUUGAAACUGUCAAUCUUGAGUGCCGGAGAGGAAAGCGGAAUUCCUAGUGUAGCGGUGAAAUGCGUAGAUAUUAGGAGGAACACCAGUGGCGAAGGCGGCUUUCUGGACGGUAACUGACGCUGAGGCGCGAAAGCGUGGGGAGCAAAC